This 253-nucleotide ribosomal RNA is filed under the name uncultured bacterium. Its description in RNAcentral is "partial 16S ribosomal RNA". It matches the Rfam family "Bacterial small subunit ribosomal RNA", at positions 57 to 305 of the family's 1533-position model. The record is from RNAcentral.
GCAAGUCGAGGGGCAGCAUUUCUAGUUUACUAGAAGAUGGCGACCGGCGCACGGGUGCGUAACGCGUAUAGAACCUACCUUUUACUGAGGAAUAGCCUUUAGAAAUGAAGAUUAAUGCCUCAUAGUAUCUAAGUAUUGCAUAAUACUAAGAUUAAAGAUUUAUCGGUAAAAGAUGGCUAUGCGUUCUAUUAGCUAGAUGGUAAGGUAACGGCUUACCAUGGCGACGAUAGAUAGGGGUCCUGAGAGGGAGAUC